This 290-nucleotide ribosomal RNA is filed under the name uncultured bacterium. Its description in RNAcentral is "partial 16S ribosomal RNA". It matches the Rfam family "Bacterial small subunit ribosomal RNA", at positions 773 to 1060 of the family's 1533-position model. The record is from RNAcentral.
GUGGAUUAGAUACCCUGGUAGUCCACGCCCUAAACGAUGCUGACUAGUUGUUGGGAAUUUACAUUCUCAGUAACGUAGCUAACGCGUGAAGUCAGCCGCCUGGGGAGUACGGUCGCAAGAUUAAAACUCAAAGGAAUUGACGGGGACCCGCACAAGCGGUGGAUGAUGUGGAUUAAUUCGAUGCAACGCGAAAAACCUUACCUACCCUUGACAUGUCACUAACGAAGUAGAGAUACAUUAGGUGCCCGUAAGGGAAAGUGAACACAGGUGCUGCACGGUCGUCGCCAGCU